Molecule: ribosomal RNA, 234 nt
Filed under: uncultured bacterium
Lineage: Bacteria
Description: partial 16S ribosomal RNA
Rfam family: Bacterial small subunit ribosomal RNA
Source: RNAcentral
UGACCAACCUGCCCCUUGCUCUGGGAUAACCCCCGGGGAAACCGGAGCUAAUACCGGGUACGACGCGCGAAGGCAUCUUCUGCGUGUAGAAAGAUUUAUCGGUCAGGGAUGGGCUCGCGGCCUAUCAGCUUGUUGGUGGGGUAACGGCCCACCAAGGCGACGACGGGUAGCCGGCCUGAGAGGGCGACCGGCCACACUGGGACUGAGACACGGCCCAGACUCCUACGGGAGGCA